Molecule: long non-coding RNA, 799 nt
Filed under: Amborella trichopoda
Lineage: Eukaryota; Viridiplantae; Streptophyta; Magnoliopsida; Amborellales; Amborellaceae
Description: long non-coding RNA (ATRI_LNC001176)
Source: RNAcentral
ACGCAUGCAUGAAGCACAAGAAAUUAUGUGGACUCCAUUUUCCACGAGUUUUCCCUGCACCAGAAUCUAUUGAUUGGUGAAUUGUUUGCAGACGCUAGGAGCUGCAUCAGUAUUCACUUGAGAAGAGAGGAGCCAAGAGUAUCUUGAUGCCUAUUAUUUGUUGGUUGGUGAUCAUCGAUUCCUCCCACCGCCUUCCGCCUCUUGUUGCAUUGAUUUUUAAUACAUUUUCCAUUUUAAUUUUAUUUACUUAUUCUCGUCUUGCCAUUUAUGUUCAUUAUCUCACUUGAGAUUCUACUCAUCCAUCUCCUGUUGUGCCUUGCACUUCCUUUUUCAGUUUGUUGCAUUAUUCGUUUCUUCAGUUGGCAUUUCUUUCGUUUUCCUCCAAUCUCCCUUUUGUGUCCCUUUUCCAUUUGUAGUUUUCUCAUAAAUAAUUUCCUUUUUGGUUGCACUAUGAUCCGCAUUACCAUGGUAGUAGUAUGGUCAAAAGAGAAAUCACCGAACAAUCAAUGGGAUGGACACUGAUGGAAGGAGUGCAGGAUAUAGACCCUCUCUCCCAUUAUCAACACCCAAACCAUAAACGGGAAGGUGAUGACCCCUACCAUAAUCAUAUGGAUCAUGGUAUGUUUUUCCUUGUUUAUCACCAUCUUUGAGAAUUGCUUUAUCAUGACUCUUUUUAAUUCCUUUUUCCUCCAAGAUUUGAAUUGUUUAUACCAUGCACGUACAACAAGAAGCAUAAAACAGAUAUGCAUGCUUACAUGUGUGUCUACAGGCUUGUCUAUGUGUGUGCACGCGCACAUAG